Molecule: long non-coding RNA, 8817 nt
Filed under: Malus domestica (apple)
Lineage: Eukaryota; Viridiplantae; Streptophyta; Magnoliopsida; Rosales; Rosaceae
Description: long non-coding RNA (MDOM_LNC007458)
Source: RNAcentral
UGGGGGAUUAUCAAUUGAAUGACUAACUUUAUUUGGGUAAUAAAGUGGAGAAAAUAAGAAAGGUAAGGAGCAAAGGGAGGCGGCCGGUUUUGACUAGCUUUUGGGAUUAAUUUGUGUGACUUAUUUGAUAUAAUAGGUGAUUAAAUUGGUGAUUAAUGGAUUAAUUAGGAAUUAAUCCAUUAAUUAGCCAAUUAAUCUCUAUUUAUAUGAAAUAAUUUAUAGGUUAUGAAGUAAUUACCUAAGAUGAGGAUGGAUGAGAUAACUUUGAAUUUGUUACCUUUUUUGGGCACUUUUGACUUGGUUUAUGGAUGAUUGUCCGCUGCUCAAGUGUAGGAAUCCCAGUAUGCCUCAAGGGUAUUUUUGUCCUCUUUUACCCAAGAAUCCAUGUGUCGCCUUGUAAUUAUUUUUGGCUCCACAAAUGCCCCUACACCUGUUGGGGUGCUCGCAGGAAAGGGCAACAUGUGUAGAGAUUUUCUCACUUUAGGAAACUCUGAAUUGCUUCCUAUUUUGUUGUUGAUUCUCUCUUUUAAUAGGAAAUUAGGUCCUUCUAAGAAAAGGAAAUAAAUUUCUCUCAAAGCCUAUUUAAGUCCACCUUAAGUGGGUUAUUAAAUCAAUUUUGGAGAGCGAUUUAUUCUACCCUACAAGAGAGCGAGAGAGAGAGCUUAGAGGAUAUUUGUUCCCCCUCCUCUAGCAAUCUUCUACAUCUUGCCCGUGCAAAGGACCAUCUUUCUUUGAUUUCUUCGUCUUCUCCGUGCUGCACCGAUGUAAGAAAAAAUUAAUUUUUUUCUUGUCUUCUUUUUGGAUAGUGCUAUUGCGGGGCAGCCGUCGGGGUGGUGUGGCACGUCGGCUGGCAAGGGCCAGGAGUCAGCUCGGCAUGGGCCGAUGAGGCAUCGUGGAAGGGGCCAUUACUUGGGUUGUUUGGCUUGGCUAAAGCCAAAAGGCAACUUGUGCGAUCGGGCCAUGGAUUGUGGCGCUGGGGCGCAAUGCUAGGCUAGUCACAUGGCUCAUGUCUUUUGGGCUCUUGGACCUUACUCAGGCCAGGCUGGCGACUGAAAGAAAUGAGGAGGUUGUGGGCCUCAUGGGUUGCUGGAAUGCUGGGCAUGCAGGCCUCCUACCUACUAGAAUGUUGGGUUGAUCUCCUCUGCUAAGUACCAUGAAUGGCAUUGGCUGCUUAGUUCUCUUCGUUGAAAGUAAGGUGGACUGCUCCCAAAGAUGAGGUAAAAAGGAUCAAGGCGGAUGCAUUGGCUCAUCUGAUCAUUGUCGUGGAGCUUACUAUGAAUAAAGGUUGAAAGAAGAGAUCUUCAUUGCCUAUUCAAGAGAUGUCGGUUGAGAAAAAAUUGAAGAAUUCAUCCACUGCUCAUGAUGAUCUGCCUGCUGUCGAAAGGCUUGUGAUUGGAAUGACUUCUUCUGAUGGGAAGAAAAAUAAGGCUACUAGAUCUGAGCAUGUGGCGUCUUCCAUGUUGAGAAUGGCUAGUGCAAUUGUUGAUAAGAUUGCUCAGCGUAAAGGUUUUAUCAUGCCCCUAGUGCCGAAUUCUGUACCAGGACGUUCUUUAGGAGCCAAGUCUAGUUUAUCUUUGUAGAGACUUGCUAUUAUGAAGAGUGGUAAGAUGGACUCUGCUAAAGUGGCGCCAAUGCCUACUCACUUUACUGCUGAGACUGAUUCGCCUGCUGGGAAGGAAGAUAUUGCUCGCGUGAGCAGCUGUGAGAAAUCCACUAAGCCUUCUUCUAGGGAGGCUGCUGAGAUCUGUGUGCUUUUAAAACUAGAUCUGCUUGAAGUUAUGGACGUUUGUGCCAAGUAUGUGAUAGCGGUAAAAAGGUUGUUUGCCCAAGUUCCUUUGCGAAACAUACGACCCAAUAUAGAAUGACUGCUCUGCUUACUAUGAUGCAUAUAUAGCAAGGCUGUCAAAAAGGUGGCGAAAAUUAUGGUAGCUGAAGCUUAUUCCUCAGCUAAGGAGAUCAAGAGGUUGGAUUCUGAGCUUGUUGCUUUGAAGGGGUCUAAUAUUUCUGCCCCCACUUCUCUGUAGCUUGAGACCGCUCGCCACAAGAUCGUUAGCUUGAAGAGUAGGCUUGACGUGAUCCAAGUUAAGUAUGAAAGUACAGAGAAGGAGAUUGAAUGUUACAAUACCUCAGAUUCAAGAUCUUGAGUUUGCAGUUUCUGAGCUUCGUUUCGCUGCUUAUGCAAAGGAUGAAAAGUUGAUUGCUGCUUAUGCUAAAAAGGGAGUGGAUGAGCUGCAGCGCAUCCAUGUUAGUCUGCUUGAGAAAAAUGAGCAGCUGAAGGGUGAGAAUGAUGGGCUUAAGGUUUCAAGACCUUCUCUAUUUCUCCGGAAGACCUCCUUGCUUUUACUUUUAAGGCUUCCAUUGGUGAAGUAGUUGGAGAAAUUAGUGCUUAGGUUGGGGUAGCCGGGGGUGAAGCGCCGGAUGAUGCCGUUGCUAAGAGCGUUACGGCUGCUGAAGGUGUGGCGACCGAGUAGUUGUGGGAUGUCCAAGUUACUAUAGUGUAGUAUUUUAGGUAGCCUUUAGGAUUUUCUUUGUUUUUCCUUGUAACUCUUGUUUUGCUUGAACUCCUUCGGCUUUUGCUAGUUGUUUAUAAACAUGUUUUCCUUCGCUUUUCUUCAUCUUCGCUUCUUUUGUUCAUGCCCUAACCUUUAGACUUGAUAGACCAGUGGUAGGUAUGCUACUUUUUUAUAAGCAGACAAGCUCACGUAGCCUAUGCAGCUGUAUAUGUUAGUGUAGAACUUUGCAAAGUUGUUAGCCAUAGGGUUUGCAACUGGAUGCCUUACUUACAGAAGCAAACAAGUAUGCGUAACCACUAGGCUGUUAACCUUGACUUUCUCCAAUUCCAUAGGCUGCGUAACAAGUAUCACAACAUUUUAGGACUUGGUGUAGGUUGCUGCGCGCUUGGCAGAGGUGAAGCUUAUCGACUACGUAGCAUGUCGGCAAUGGAUAAAACUUUGUAUAUGCGCGCUAGCUUGUUUAACUUUUCACAAAAAUGUGCAGUUGUAUAAGUCUAGCGCGGCUUUACUGCUCGAAAGGCAAGUCGUAGGCAGUCUUCCGGAAUUCGUAGGCUAUCUUAGUGCACUCGGUAGCAGCUUUAGGGUUCUAGGGUAGCCGUCUGUAGGGCGUACUGCGUAACCUUAGUGCACUCGGUAGCAGCUUUAGGGUUCCAGGGUAGCCGUCUGUAAGGCGUACUACAUAAUGUGCCCCUUCUGUCUUUAGGGCCCGGUUCCCCGCAGAUUAGGCCAAGAGACCCAAAAUCCUUCAGUUAGCUAAGCCUUGAAAAAGACCAUUAUGGCUAAUUUUAGGAAUCCCGGCGUAAGCCAUUGUGCAUCUAGUUAUACUAGGGCAGCCAGGCUCAUCCACAUCUGGAUAUUUAUAGUGUAAAGUUUAUCCUCUCGUCUUGGAGAGCUGACCCAUAUGGGUGUCGGGGAAUUGGUUUACCUUCUCGCACUGGAGAGCAAUUAGUUUACCUUCUCGCACUGGAGAACAUGGUUGGUCCCUCGGGGGGGUGCAAUUCCUGUGAUGGGUCCCUAAAAAUGGUGCAAUCUUCUUUUGAAGUGCCGAAGUGAUCAGUUGUUGUAAGCAUGCAGCCGAGCCAAGUUGUGAUUACAUCUGAAUUCCUUAUUGAAAAACGAGUGAAAUGAACAAGAACUUAACUGUAAGGUAGGAACUGCAUAACAACUGGAUAGUCAUUGACUUGUGAAGUGGUGCCCGUCGAGCUUCUUGAGUCUUCGGGCUUUGAUGUAGUAGGAGGUCACACAUGGUACUUCUUCAGAUUGUAGGCACUCUACUACUUUUCAAUCUUUUUAUCGUUUCAUGGUGGUGAGGGUGUAAUUACUCUUGCCGCCUAUUCUGCUGAUCUUGUACGGACCUUCCCAGAUGAUAUCCAUCAUUUUGGAGCCUUCUUUGUAGGCAAUGAUGAAGGCUUUUCUUAGGACUAGAUCUUUGGGCUGGAACUACCAGAUUUUUUCCCUUUUGUUGUUGCUGGAAAUGAACUGCUGCUGAUAAGCUGCGAUGCGGGUGAUAGUCUGCCGCACUUCUCCUUUGCCAGAUUUAAGCUUGUCGCCAUUUCCUUUCGGUUGCUCAUCUUUUGGUGGUGCGAUAUGCCCAUAGACAUCCAGGGAGUUCGUCUGGCCAUUUUCUUUUCAUACUGGUGGUGGAUUUCUUGUGGCAGUCGAGGAUCAUCUUGGUAGAUACUUUGGCCCGCCUAUUGCCUUGAGAAUAUCUUGGCGUAGACAUGUGCUGCUUGAUGCCAUAUUUUUGGAAAAACUUUGCCAAAUCUUUGCCCACGAAUUGCGGGCCAUUGUUGGUGACGAUGGAUUAAGGGAUGCCAAAUUGGUAAAUGAUGUUCCUCCAUAUGAAGCGUUCUAUGUCCGUCUGAAUCAUGGUCGUCAUGGGCUCUGCUUCUACCUAUUUAGUGAAGUAGUCGGUUACCAUGAUCAUCAUGCCUUUGCUCCUAGUAGUCUAGCUGGUGAUUAGCUAAGAAUUGGAAUGAAUUGAAAGCUUUUUCACCACCAAGUCUUUUUUCAUUCGAAGGCCUGCUAGUGGGGCUUCAUACUCUGCUUCGUUGUUAGAUGCUUUAAAACCUAGAAUGAUUGCCUAAUCGGGCAUCGAACCGCCUGGGUUGACAAGGACCACGUCUAUUCCUGAACCUUUAUAGUUGGAUGUGCUGUCGACAAGCAAAUGCCAGAAGUCUCCAUUGGAUGGAGCGGGUGCGGCUGAAAUGUGCUCAGCUACCUUUGGGGCGUCAUUAAGCCGCUCUGUUACGUUGUCAAGGCUAGGCGUGAAGGCGCGGUAUGGAGCCGUGGAACAUGGGCUAUGUUACAUGUGGCAGGAGAUGCUCAACUACAGGUAUUGGGCCACUCUAGAGCUGAAUAAUGGAGCAAGGGUCAGCUAGGGUCGUGUGACGCGCAGCAGGAGGUAGUGCUCAACUGCCGGUACAUGUUGCUCUUAUGUAGAAUCUUCUGGGGCGACAAGGACAAAAAUUCCUUCUGAGUGUUCCUUCUAGUGUUCGUCUGCCAUUGGCGUGUCUUUUGGGCCAAGUUGUUGUGUUCGUCAGAAAACUUUGCAUCCGCCAAGGUCUAGACCUUUAUUGUCGCCCGUCUGGAUUUGGCGGAAUAGUGCGUCAUGAUGAUGAUUGCGUGCAUUUGAAGAUAAAACUUGAGUUUUCAGGUUACAACAACUAUUGCCAAAGUUAACUUUUGAAUUUCUAAUAGCAUCGAGGAAAACUUUUGAACUAUAGGAUACAGGUAGUCUGGCCUCCAGCUAUUCUCGCAUGAUGAUAGAGCUUAUUGCUACUCUAGAUACCGUCAAACACGUGAAUAAGUCAUCCGCUGCUUUCAGUUUGGAUAGUAGGGAGGUGACUUCGAGUACUUCUUCAAGUCUUUGAAUGUGCAUUGGUGAGCCUCGUCCCAAAGUGCAUGUUUUUUUGCCAGAGCGAAAGAGUCUGCCAGAGUUAGAUCUUCUUUCAUGAUCAAUUUUCCAAAUAGCGGGUGGUCUGCUGGAAGUCCUUUUUGGAAGGCUGCUCUAACUAUUGAGUCGUUGCAUCCGGCUAUCCUUGCCUUCUCUGCUUUGAACCUCCUCACAUAGUCGCAAAGCGACUCCUUUGAGUUCUUCUUGACAUCGAACAAAUGGUCGGACUUCUUUUUGAUCGAGUGAUAGGAUGAAUAUUCUUUGGUGAAAACCAAAGAAAGUUUAUCAAAAUUCUGGAUGAAUUGUGGCGGUAGGGUGUAUAACCCAUCUUGUGCCUUACCUUGUAGAGUGGUGGUGAAUAUCUUGCAUAUGAGAUCAUCGUUGUCUCGAUAGAGGAUCAUUGCACUUCGGUAGUGCUUUAAGUGUCUCUCCGGGUCUUCAUCCCCUUUGAAAGAUGUGAAAUGUGGCAUGCUGAACUCGCAUGGAGGCUCUGCCUGCUCGAUCUUGUCCGUGAAGGGUGACGUGUUUAUAUUAGUCAUGUUCCGUCGUAGUGCCUCAUCGGUGACCUCAUUGUGUUGGAAAUUGCGCAAUCGCUUGGUCAAGAGUCUCUAUACUUCUUCCUGAAUUUGCCUUUGUUAGGGUAGCGGAGCUCUCGGCUGCCCCCAGUCGGGACUUACUGGUCUAGGCUGUUCUUCCAUAUGUUUGGCUCGUCUAUGUCGCAGAUGUGGUACAUGUAGCGGGUUCCUAGCAGGUGAGCAAGUUCUUCGCAGGCUACCGGUUAAACUUGAACCGUAUUUAGUAAAUGCUUAUCUCCGUCCGUCGUGGUGCCUAUUCCGAUGUGAGGUGGAUGAUGCUCCUUACGAUCUUAACCGCAAAUGAACACUUCACCUGGAAGGCUGCUUAUGUUGACUAUCGGAGUGUGACCCCAACCGUGAAUGUAUGUUCGUUUGUGGGCCUAGUCGAGAGUGCACACUUGUCCGGCUCUAAGACGAGAAUAUACGCUAUCUCAGGGGCCCAAUCGGGAGUGUACACUCAUUGAACGCUCAGUUCGUGGUUGGUCAAGUGGCUGCUUACCAGGACACUGCUGGAGAGGUUCUUUGUCUGCCCUUAUCCUACUUCGGGAUAUUUCAUCUAGGGCACAUUGCAUCUCGGUGCGCUGCAAGAGCUAGUUCACCAAGGUUGUCUGCUGUGCGAGGGCGCUCGUCAACUCAAUGACUUGUCGAGACAAGUGUCGUUCUCCAUUUGAGUUGGAAGAGCUUGGAAGAAAUGUUUCUCCUUGAGUAUUGGAAGUGUGGUAGACUCCGGGUGCGAGAUUUGAGGUGGGAAAUGUCAAAUCCGUGAAAAAAUAUGGUGAGAAUGCCCUCGGCUCGAUGGUAGGUCUGGAUAGUUAAGAUAGUCUUGGGCCGACUUGGGCUGCUUGGAAAGCUAUGGGAGCAGACUGGGCCAUGGGAGCAAGUUGAGCCAUGAUAGCAGGCUGGGCUGCAAGAGUGGGCUGUUCGUCGGGAGCAGGAUGGACUACAGGAAUGGGCUGCUCAUCGGAAGUAAGCUGCUUAGUAGGAGCAGGCUGGGCUACGAGAGUGGGCUGCUCGGCGGAAGCAGGCUGGGCUACGAGAGUGGGCUGCUCAUCGGGAAUAGGCUGGACCACGGGAGUGGGCUACUCGUCGGGAGUAGGCUGCUCAGCGCGUGAUGCAUGCAAAUACGAUGCUUGAGCUUAGACUCGUGCAAGCUUAAAUGGCACGGCUUGGACUAUGGUGGAACCUCGUAGUGGUGGUAACACUUCACCUAUGACCACAUUUAGCCUCGUGGAUCGCCGCGGUCCCAUUUCUUGAGUAUUAGAAUUUUCACUUGUGGAAUUUUCUAAAUUUCUAGCCAUUAUAUUUUUCUUAUAGAUUUUAUCAAAGAACCUUUGCAAAUAAAAAAUUCUAAUAAUAAGAACGUAUGAAAAAUAUUCAAAUGGACUAGAAAAUAGAGAAAAACCUUUUAUGCGAGAGUCUUCUACGAGUAUGGAUCUCAACUUUCAAUGAAACCACCAAUUUGUGGAUGCAAAUUUCUUCCUCCUUGAUCUUGGACAAUUUUGCACCUACAAAACAAUUAACACCUUAGGUUAAGGCCAAGAGCCUCACGUGCCCACGAUGAAUGGGGGGGGCUUUGGCCGAAGAACCUCCGAUGCCAAAGUUAGAAUUUAGAGAGAAAGAGUGUUCAGAGAAUUUUGGGAUUUUUGCUAAAGUGUUGGAAUCAGUGUUUGGUGAAAAUGGGAGCCUAUUUAUAAGGCUAGGCUGGUCCACUUAAGAGAGCCGGCCAACUUGUGGAUUUUUUGUUGAAUUUGAGGUUUAAUUAGCCAAUUUAUUGGCUAAUAAAUAUGAAAGAAAUAAAUGGGGGGUUAUCAAAUUGAAUGACUAACUUUAUUUGGUAAUAAAGUGGAGAAAAUAAGAAAGGUAAGGAGCAAAGGGAGCUGGCCGGUUUUGACUAGCUUUUGGGAUUAAUUUGGGUGACUUAUUUGAUAUAAUGGGUGAUUAAAUUGGUGAUUAAUGGAUUAAUUAGGAAUUAAUCCAUUAAUUAGCCAAUUAAUCUCUAUUUAUAUGAAAUAAUUUAUAAGUUAUGAAGUAAUUACCUAAGAUGAGGAUGGAUGAGAUAACUUUGAAUUUGUUACCUUUUUUGGGCACUUUUGACUUGGUUUAGGGAUGAUUGCCCGUUGUUCGCGUGUAGGAAUCCCAGUAUGCCUCAAGGGUAUUUUUGUCCUCUUUUACCCAAGAAUCCACGUGUCGCCUUGUGAUUAUUUUUGGCUCCACAGUUACGAUUAUAAUUCUUCUAAUAUAUGAGAGGUAUGAGAUGGCUUAAGCCAAGUUGUGUGACACAUAGUAUUAAGAGUUGUUAUAUUUUUCAUUUCAAGUUGAGGAUUAAGGUUAGCAAAAUGUGCUAGUUAAUCAAUCUUUGGAGCAGAGAAGAGAGUGCAAGAAUAAUCAAAGUAUUCAACACUACUUACAUUCAAUAUGGCGGUGCGCAAUUGUUACUGAUGUGUGUAAAACUUAUUGUAAGAUUAUUCAUACAUUGGGUUUAAACUUGCACAUUUUAACAGUUGUGAAAUUAUAAUGAAGGAAAAUAAAUUGAACGAUACGAAAAUUGGGGAGAGUAGGGAAUCAAACACGUGAUUGUGUGACAAUAAUACUCCUCACUUAACAAAUGAAACUCUAUGAAGAAAUACUUGACAAUGUCAUUUUAUUAGACGUAUAGCAAGACAUGUUAUGUUAUUAUUGUUAACUGAAUUACCUGUUAAAUUUCUCUUUAUAUGUAGUGUUAGAUUUACAAUUUGAAAAAGUUCUAUAUACAGUUUGAAAAUUUUCUCUUUUGGGUAAUUUAAACUUUAAAGUACCUUGUAAGUCAAGGUUUCAAACCUUCCCUGAAGUAAAA